Molecule: small nucleolar RNA, 52 nt
Filed under: Sorex araneus (European shrew)
Lineage: Eukaryota; Metazoa; Chordata; Mammalia; Eulipotyphla; Soricidae
Description: Small nucleolar RNA ACA64 (ENSSARG00000019880.1)
Source: RNAcentral
GGGCCUCAGCUCACCGCCCUCUCUCCUGUGUGGGGAGGUGAAAUCCAGCCCA